RNAcentral lists this ribosomal RNA (253 nucleotides) under uncultured bacterium. RNAcentral describes it as "partial 16S ribosomal RNA". It matches the Rfam family "Bacterial small subunit ribosomal RNA", at positions 524 to 776 of the family's 1533-position model. The record is from RNAcentral.
UACGUAGGGUGCAGGCGUUAAUCGGAAUUACUGGGCGUAAAGCGUGCGUAGGCGGUCUGUUAAGACAGGUGUGAAAUCCCCGAGCUCAACUUGGGAAUUGCGCUUGUUACUGGCAGGCUAGAGUGUGGCAGAGGGGGGUGGAAUUCCACGUGUAGCAGUGAAAUGCGUAGAUAUGUGGAGGAACACCGAUGGCGAAGGCAGCCCCCUGGGUUAACACUGACGCUCAGGCACGAAAGCGUGGGGAGCAAACAGG